RNAcentral lists this ribosomal RNA (468 nucleotides) under uncultured bacterium. RNAcentral describes it as "partial 16S ribosomal RNA". It matches the Rfam family "Bacterial small subunit ribosomal RNA", at positions 28 to 507 of the family's 1533-position model. The record is from RNAcentral.
GACGAACGCUGGCGGCGUGCUAAACACAUGCAAGUCGAACGGAAAGGCCCUGCUUUUGUGGGGUGCUCGAGUGGCGAACGGGUGAGUAACACGUGAGUAACCUGCCCUUGACUUUGGGAUAACUUCAGGAAACUGGGGCUAAUACCGGAUAGGAGCUCCUGCUGCAUGGUGGGGGUUGGAAAGUUUCGGCGGUUGGGGAUGGACUCGCGGCUUAUCAGCUUGUUGGUGGGGUAGUGGCUUACCAAGGCUUUGACGGGUAGCCGGCCUGAGAGGGUGACCGGCCACAUUGGGACUGAGGUACGGACCAGACUCCUACGGGAGGCAGCAGUGGGGAAUAUUGCACAAUGGGCCGAAGCCUGAUGCAGCAACGCCGCGUGCGGGAUGACGGCCUUCGGGUUGUAAACCGCUUUCGCCUGUGACGAAGCGUGAGUGACGGUAAUGGGUAAAGAAGCACCGGCUAACUACGUG